Molecule: ribosomal RNA, 501 nt
Filed under: uncultured bacterium
Lineage: Bacteria
Description: partial 16S ribosomal RNA
Rfam family: Bacterial small subunit ribosomal RNA
Source: RNAcentral
AUUGAACGCUGGCGGCAGGCUUAACACAUGCAAGUCGAGCGGGGUGAUGGUGCUUGCACUAUCACUUAGCGGCGGACGGGUGAGUAAUGCUUAGGAAUCUGCCUAUUAGUGGGGGACAACAUUCCGAAAGGAAUGCUAAUACCGCAUACGCCCUACGGGGGAAAGCAGGGGAUCUUCGGACCUUGCGCUAAUAGAUGAGCCUAAGUCGGAUUAGCUAGUUGGUGGGGUAAAGGCCUACCAAGGCGACGAUCUGUAGCGGGUCUGAGAGGAUGAUCCGCCACACUGGGACUGAGACAAGGCCCAGACUCCUACGGGAGGCAGCAGUGGGGAAUAUUGGACAAUGGGCGGAAGCCUGAUCCAGCCAUGCCGCGUGUGUGAAGAAGGCCUUUUGGUUGUAAAGCACUUUAAGCGAGGAGGAGGCUACUUAGAUUAAUACUCUGGGAUAGUGGACGUUACUCGCAGAAUAAGCACCGGCUAACUCUGUGCCAGCCGCCGCCGUAA